RNAcentral lists this ribosomal RNA (481 nucleotides) under uncultured bacterium. Its description in RNAcentral is "partial 16S ribosomal RNA". It matches the Rfam family "Bacterial small subunit ribosomal RNA", at positions 28 to 507 of the family's 1533-position model. The record is from RNAcentral.
GAUGAACGCUGGCGGCGUGCUUAACACAUGCAAGUCGAACGAAGCACUUUAUUUGAUUUCCUUCGGGACUGAUUAUUUUGUGACUGAGUGGCGGACGGGUGAGUAACGCGUGGGUAACCUGCCUUGUACAGGGGGAUAACAGUUGGAAACGGCUGCUAAUACCGCAUAAGCGCACGGCAUCGCAUGCUGCAUUGUGAACAACUCGGGUGGUAUAAGAUGGACCCGCGUUGGAUUAGCUAGUUGGUGAGGUAACGGCCCACCAAGGCGACGCUGCAUAGCCGACAUGAGAGGGUGACCGGCCACAUUGGGACUGAGACACGGCCCAAACUCCUACGGGAGGGAGCAGUGGGGAAUAUUGCACAAUGGGCGAAAGCCUGAUGCAGCGACGCCGCGUGAGCGAAGAAGUAUUUCGGUAUGUAAAGCUCUAUCAGCAGGGAAGAUAAUGACGGUACCUGACUAAGAAGCACCGGCUAAAUACGUG